RNAcentral lists this ribosomal RNA (446 nucleotides) under uncultured prokaryote. RNAcentral describes it as "bacterial SSU rRNA". It matches the Rfam family "Bacterial small subunit ribosomal RNA", at positions 355 to 796 of the family's 1533-position model. The record is from RNAcentral.
UCGAGAAUCUUCGGCAAUGGGCGCAAGCCUGACCGAGCGACGCCGCGUGCGGGAUGAAGGCCCUCGGGUUGUAAACCGCUGUCAGUAGGGAGGAAAUGCAUCAGGGCACUCUCUGGUGUUUGACCGAUCUGCAGAGGAAGGCCGGGCUAAGUUCGUGCCAGCAGCCGCGGUAAGACGAACCGGUCGAACGUUAUUCGGAAUCACUGGGCUUAAAGAGUGCGUAGGCGGUCUUGCAGGUGAGGUGUGAAAUCCCCCGGCCCAACCGGGGAACUGCGCUUCAAACCGCAAGGCUUGAGGGAGAUAGAGGUGAGCGGAACUGAUGGUGGAGCGGUGAAAUGCGUUGAUAUCAUCAGGAACACCCGUGGCGAAAGCGGCUCACUGGGUCUCUUCUGACGCUGAGGCACGAAAGCUAGGGUAGCGAACAGGAUUAGAUACCCCGGUAGUCC